Molecule: long non-coding RNA, 2238 nt
Organism: Sapajus apella (tufted capuchin)
Lineage: Eukaryota; Metazoa; Chordata; Mammalia; Primates; Cebidae
Exons: 2
Source: RefSeq, a predicted model, not a curated record
UGUUGGAAACAUUCCAUUUUAUUUUAAAAUAGAUUUUGAGUAGAUCUAGUGUAGAGACUACCAACCUAUUUAGCCCUAACUGAUAGCCAGUACUCUCUGUAGGUUACCACAGGCAAGAAAAGGAAGAAAAUAAAGGACGAACUGCAAGGGAGGAAGAAAAAAGGUUACCAGAGGAAGGGAGGUGGUAAAAAGGUGCACAGGGGAUUUGAGUCUAUUCCUGGCCUUGCCACUGCUAUGUGUGUGUGACCCUGGACAAUGGCAGAAAUCCCUAUCAUGUCUCUAGGCCUCAGCUUUCUCACUCAAUCUAUAUGUUUUCAUGGGCAAGGAAAUAGAAAGCAGUGUUGAUUUUGGUUACUGUUUCUGUGAUCCAGCUGUAAAGUUUUCCUGUUCUUGUGGUAUGGGUGAGUGGCAGGGCUAGUGAUGGUUGUCACAGAUGAACCUUGGUUAUAACUAGGCUGUUGCUUACAGCAUCCAGCUCUUGAACUAACUUACACAGGUGGUUUUCCCCAGAGUAGUCCAAAUGGGAGAAUGAGUAUAUCGCCCUGUGUUUUCUGAAAAUUACCUAAGCACAUUUCAGUGACAAUGUGUAAGCAUGGCAGGUAAGCGAUCUGCAGUAUCAUUCAGAUUUGAGGAAGGAGAGAGGAGAAGUUAAUCUCUGCCACACUUGUUUUGCUUUGUUUGUGAAUUGAUAAAUUGUAGAGAUUGCCUUACAGCAUUUUUUCUAUUGUUAAAACUUUUGCAUUGAGCAUCUCAUGCUGACUUUGCAAUCCAGAAAGGGCCUAAAAUUCUUCAGUCAUAGGAGCUUUAGAUGCCCAGGAUUUGCAGUAAGUUUGUUUAAAGCAGAAAUGAGGCAGUGCUUUGGUCUGGAUAUGCUGCCAUGCCCCGCCUUCUUGCUCUUUAAUGUGCUUCACAGAUCCUGGGUUUUGUACAAAUUGAAGUCUUGUGGCCGCCCUGCAUUGAGCGAGUCUGUCGCUGCCACUUUUCCAACAACAUGUGCUUUGUGGCUCUCUGUUCACACUUUGGUAAUUCUCAUAAUACUUCAAACUUUUUCAUUCUUAUAAUAUCUGUCAUGGUGAUCUGUGAUCACUAAUCUUUGAUUACUGAUUACAAUUGUUUUGGGGCACCACAAACCGCAUCCAUAUAAGGUGGUGAACUUAAUUGAUAAAUGUUGUGUGUGUUUUGAUGGUUCCACUGCAGGCCAUUCCCCUAUCUCUCACCCUCUCCUCCUGAGACACAAUAUUAACAUUAGGCCAAUUAAUGACCCUGCAAUGGCCUCUAUGCGUUAAAGUGAAAGGACAAGAUGCAUGUCCCUCACUAUUUAUUUAUUUACUUAUUUAGAGAUGGAGUCUUGCUCUGUCACCCAGGCUAGAGAGCAGUGGCCCAAUCUCAACUCACUGCAACCUCUGCCUCCCGGGUUCAAGCAAUUCCCCUGCCUCAGCCUCUCAAGUAGCUGGGAUUGCAGGCGCCUGCCACCACGCCCGGCUAAUGACUAAUCAAGAAAUGACUAAGCUUAGCAAGGAAGACGUGUAGAAAGCCAAGAUAGGCAAAACCUAUGCCUCUUGUGCCAAACAGCCAAGUUGUGAAUGCAAAGGAGAAGUUUUUGAAGGAAGUCAAAAGAGCUACUACUCCAGGGAACAUAUGAAUGAUAAGAAAGUGAAACAGCCUUAUUGCUGAUAGAGAAAGUUUUAGUGGUUUGGAUAGAAGAUAAACCAGCCACAACAUUCUCUGAAGCCUAAUCCACAGCAAGGUCCUCUCUUCAAUUCUGUGAAGGCUGAGAGAUGUGAGGAAUCUUUAGAAGAAAAAUUUGAAGCUAGCAGAAGCUGGUUUAUGAGGAUCAAGGGAAGAAACCAUCUCCAUGACAUAAAAGUGCAAGGUGAAACAGCAAGUGCUGAUGGAGAAGCUGCAGCAAGUUAUCCAGAAGAUCUGGCUAUUAUAAUGGACAAAGGUAGCUGCACUAAACAACAGGUUUUCAAUGUAGACCAAACAGUCUUACAUUAGAAGAUGCCAUCUAGGAAUUUUAUAGUUAGAGAGAAGUUAAUGCCUGGCUUCAAACCUUCAAAGAACAGGCCGACUCUUGUUAAGGGUAAAUGCAGCUAAUGACUUUAAGUUGAAGCCAAUGCUUGUUUACCAUUCCAGAAAUCCUGUGGCCCUUAAGAAUCAUGCUAAAGCUACUCUGCCUGGUCUCUAGAAAUGGAAUGACAAAGCCUGGUUGGAAGCACAUUUGUUUACAGCAUUAUU